GUGACAAUGGAAGCAGGGUGUGAAUGACUGGCUCAGAUUUCACUAAAGACACAAACUUUGUGUAGAGAAGCUCAACCUUGUCAACCUCUUCACUCACGAAAAAUGAGAAAACAUCAUCAGCAAUGGCCUGAGCAUCUUUAGCAGUGGGCAGAUUGCUUCCUUCAAGAAAUUUAUCUACAGGGAUGUAAGGCCUGCGGAGGAAAUAAGAAUUACCCUUUUUGCCAACACUGAUAAUAGUGUAAUCAAGGCCAAGAGCUUUCAAAUCUCUAAUCCUGGCCUCAGCUUUUUUGAUGAUAUAGUUGUUAAAACCACCACAAAGACCCCGGUCACCGGUGACAACCACCAACGCCACUUUCUUGACAGGUCUUACUUUGGUGAGUGGUACAUCAAUGUCAUCUGUCUGGAGCUGCUCAUUGAUGUUGUAAAGUACCUCAACCAAAGUCUCAGAGAAAGGCCUCGCACCCACAACAGCUUCUUGUGCUCUUCUGACUUUAGCAGCAGCCACAAGCUUCAUAGCCUCAGUAAUCUUCUGUGUGUUCUUGACAGAGUCAAUUCGAUCACGCAGAUCACGGAGACCACAUCGGACAGGGAUAACUGAUGAUGAUCUUGAGGGGUUUGAAGGGCCUGAUAGGUUGUGGUUAGGAAGCUGAAAAGAGCUGACAGCAGAGCGGAAAGAAAGGGCAGAGGAUUCAGAAAGAGAUGGUUUUGAGGACACCAACAUUGUCAAAUUUGAACAAGACAUGUUUUUUCUUUUAGCUCAGGAAUGUGGCUGCUCCAAAGAGUGAAGUGGGAGGGAUAAAGAUUGGGUUUUGUUUUGAGGAUUCUUAUCAGAAUGGUGGAAAUCUUGGGUGUUUUGGUGGUGUGGGGUGAAGGGAGAAGGAGGGAAUGAGAGGUGGAGGGAAGGG
This 905-nucleotide unclassified non-coding RNA is filed under the name Hevea brasiliensis (rubber tree). Lineage: Eukaryota; Viridiplantae; Streptophyta; Magnoliopsida; Malpighiales; Euphorbiaceae. The record is from RNAcentral.